This 1196-nucleotide long non-coding RNA is filed under the name Linum usitatissimum (flax). RNAcentral describes it as "long non-coding RNA (LUSI_LNC003907)". The record is from RNAcentral. Lineage: Eukaryota; Viridiplantae; Streptophyta; Magnoliopsida; Malpighiales; Linaceae.
UCGUCUCUUCCAAGAACUCAGUUUCUUCUUUGAAUCAACUUAAAGUCUUUUAGUUUAAUUUAGUCAUUAGAAUAAUUAGCUUCAAAAACCAAAUCUUUUAGCCUAAACCGUGUUGACGAAUUCGAGUAGAGGCAUAGCGAGAGGGACCUUCGGACACAAACGACACUUUUGUUGUCGGAAUAACUUCGCAGUUGUUCGGGCGAUCAGUACCCUUCAAGAGAUAAAGUCCAUCACUCAGCUCACCACUGCAAAUCGUCCUCCGCGUCCUCACUUCCUGCAACACACAACCAGUUGAGGAAAAUUUUAUUUCACACUGCCGGUCAUGAGUAACUUGAUGAACAGAUAGGAGGUUGCAAUCUAGUUUUGGUACAUAUAGUACAUGGCCAAGGGUGAGAUCCUUUGUCACCCGUACCAUACCAAUUCCUUCAACCGAUGCAAUGGUCCCAUAAGCUAUACGAACCCCUGAGGUUCUUGGAUACGACUAUAGGUUAUGAAGAAGUUCUUUACAACUAGUCAUAUUAUCAAUGACACCUGAAUCUAUCAUCCAUAUAUUUCUAGAAUUCUGCUGUGAGGUAUAAGCAUGAGAAAUACCUUGUUUUUCAAAUAGUCUGGUGAGACAGGCCUUUGGUUUUCACUUGGCUUUCUCUGCUUGAAGAACCGAAAUAAAGAUUCAUAUGAUUCCAUUGAGGAGAUAAGCCAGAAACGGGCUUGAUUGUCGUUAUCGUCCCACUAGGUGUAAGCAGUGGCGUCGGAUUCUGCUGGUUUGAUUGCCUUACCAGUCAGAUGUACUUCCUUGUAAUGAACAUCCGGAUAGAUUGUGAUCACUAGAGGUAAUUCUCCCCCAUUGAAUUAUCUAAUGGUGAUUCCUCCAGAGCCUGGUUUGUUUCCCGAGCCAUUGUUUGAUGUAGCCAUACCCUCGGUUGCAGAGUCGGCCGAAAUGAUGAUAGAGGUAGAAGAGUGUUUAUGAGAUUUUGGAGAAGAAGGUUGAGAAGAAGAUGAAUCCCCGUCUGUGUUCAUGCCAGAAGAAGUAGGACAUCACCUGCGGCAUCAAAAGCAAGCAACAAUAUCAAAGUUAGGAGAACACGAUAGGAUUUAGAAUUCCUUUCAUUUCGUCUUAUUGAUUUCUGAGUUGUAAAGGAGAUAUAUAGGCUAGAUAAGAGAGUCUUACCAUAAUUGAAAUAUACCCUAAAUCUAAU